RNAcentral lists this long non-coding RNA (2347 nucleotides) under Oryza sativa Indica Group (long-grained rice). RNAcentral describes it as "lncRNA OsMH63_08G015020". Lineage: Eukaryota; Viridiplantae; Streptophyta; Magnoliopsida; Poales; Poaceae. The record is from RNAcentral.
AUGGUGACUCCUGCUCCUUUGGGAGGCUGGGAUUUCUCCCUGGGGAUCACAUCAGGGAUGAAACCCUACUCAGGUUCCGCUCUCCUGUUCACUUCUCCCUUUUUCUCCAAUCGUCCAUUCACCCUGGUGGUAGACUUUCCUCACUCCUCUUUUUGGCUUUGUUGCUCUUCGGCGGCUCUCGCCCUCAGGGCUUGCAUUGGUGGUUCUUCUGGUGAUCUCCAUGUCUCUCGUCUCUCUGGAAGGUGUUACAGUUUUACAGUUUGUUCUAAGAAAGUUGGCCUUUGGAUCUAUAAUCUUAGAUCCUUCACUUGCAAGGAUUAUGUUGCUCGGUUUUUCCUCUGGAGAGAUGGGGGCCCUAACUGGCAUAAGGAAUAUGAUAUCUGGUUGGCAGCUCAAGAGGCUGAUUGGACAAUUGUUCGUCACAAGAAAAAGUCUAAGAUUGUUUCCAAGACUAUCUCUAGCAGCCGCAAAUCAGUUCCUCAUGCCAACAAUGCUCUAGUGCCUGUAAAAUUGGUGUUCCAUCGGUUGUCUUCUUUCUUCUGGCAAUCACCGGAGGCUGAAUCUUCGCCUCUGUCUGUUAAAGCCUCUUCUGUUAGUAGGCCUAGUUGCCCUAGAUGUCAGAAGCCAGGUCAUCUGGAAUCUAACUCCAUAAAUAGAGUCCACUGUGCAGCUUGCUCUAAACUUGAUCAUCGGGCUUCAGUGUGCUCGACCCAAAAGUCUGAAAAGAAAGUCUGGGUUCGCAAGCCCAAGGCCAAAAAGCCCAUUGGUUCAGUUAUUGCUUCUUCUAGUCGAAGGCCCGCAACUGAUAGUUUGGUUGUUUCGGGGAAGUCGCUGGAGGAAGAGCAUAAUAUUUUAGUUGGCAUCGUUUUGUGCCUUAAUUAUAGGCAGUUGCAGCCUGACGCUUCUUCUUCCUCUCUUCCUCUCGCUCUCCGCCCAACUCCAAUCUAUAGUGCUCCAAAAACCCCAAUGGCCAACAUCAAUCCGGAUCCUACUCCGUUCGUCCCGCCGACGAUGGCGAUCAAUGAUGCUUGGCUUCACUGUCUCCCUCGUGCGGAUUUGAUCAUCAUGGAUGAACCUCCCAAGAAGCAUGAAGGUAUCGCAGUUGCCAUUCUUGAGCCCCCUCCCAAGAAGCAAGAGCAUUUUGUCCUUGUGGUUUACUACGUUCAAAACACUCUGGGUUAUCAUGUGUUGGACACCAGUAGGCAUGCAUCUGAGUUUGCUUUUAUUCACAUUGCCUCGGCUGUGCUUAGAGAUGCUCUAGUAUUGGGAGGGCCAUAUGAUGUCAAUGAACAGAUUACCCUAAGAUUUGUCAACCAUGAUAACACCUCCACUUGCCGCAAUUCCCCUCCAAUUAGAGAGGGUUGGGUGAUGUUCUUAGAUUUCCCUCUAGACCUACAAACCGACAGAAUUGUGGACAAACCAGUUGUGGACCAAGGUUCAGAGGCAGGGUUCUUGCGAAGGUCAUUUACUCCAUGGUUGAGGAGGUCCCUCUCUAAGGUGGUGAUUAAAAAGUACUUAAGCUUUGGAGAUGUCCAGCCUGCAGAUGAGGAUCUGCCACUUGUGAACCACAUUCCCUUGCCAGAACCAUCUCCUAUUCCUCAACAAGCUAAUGUUUGGGGAAAUGCAGAUGAAGACAUAGGUGAGAAUGAUGAAGAAGAACUUUCUCACAAUGUCAGUGCUGUGUCCCAGCAGGACUCAGGGGAAUGGCAAAUUUUCCCUACCCAUCAAGUGGCACCUACUAUUUCUUUGGAUGUUGCAAUGGGGCCACUGGUCAGCCAGACUGAGGAAGUUGUGCCUUCAUUCAUUGUUUACCCUCAGUUUUGGAAACUGCUCAGCAUUUGUAGGACUCUCCUGUGUGGGCCAAGAUUGCUUGGGCCUCAGCCCAUGUCAUCUGAUGUAGUCCCAUACCAGCUACCUGUCCAUCAUGUUUUUCAAUUUGCCAUGCUAGCUUCUGCAUUGAUAUGGGCCGAAGAAAACUGGGUCAGCCAACAAGUUAUUUCAGUCCAACCGAUUCAAGCUAUCCAUCCUCAACACACAGUUUCAGUGUUGGAUCUUCUCCUGGACCCAUUCCAACAAGAUGUCUCUCCUGCUCUACCCCCAAGGCCCAAAAGGGGGACUGGGAAGUUGAUUUUGUUGGAUUCAGAAAUACGGAGAAGUGAAAGAAUUAACAAUCUUUCUGAUGGAUUUAUGUCCCCUGACCCAAAUUUGGGUGUGGGAAAGCCAAGGGGAAAGGCUAGGGCAAAGAGCUCCAAGAAGCUUAAAAUGCUGGCUCAAGAAAGUGGUAUCUUGCUCUCUCUCAACCCUUUGCCUUUGGAACUUAAUGAUCGUAUUGCUUAAGAUGAUGAGA